This 251-nucleotide ribosomal RNA is filed under the name Wolbachia endosymbiont of Idionella rugosa. Its description in RNAcentral is "partial 16S ribosomal RNA". It matches the Rfam family "Bacterial small subunit ribosomal RNA", at positions 524 to 774 of the family's 1533-position model. Lineage: Bacteria; Pseudomonadati; Pseudomonadota; Alphaproteobacteria; Rickettsiales; Anaplasmataceae. The record is from RNAcentral.
UACGGAGAGGGCUAGCGUUAUUCGGAAUUAUUGGGCGUAAAGGGCGCGUAGGCGGGUUAGUAAGUUAAAAGUGAAAUUCCAAGGCUCAACCUUGGAAUUGCUUUUAAAACUGCUAACCUAGAGAUUGAAAGAGGAUAGAGGAAUUCCUAGUGUAGAGGUGAAAUUCGUAAAUAUUAGGAGGAACACCAGUGGCGAAGGCGUCUAUCUGGUUCAAAUCUGACGCUGAGGCGCGAAGGCGUGGGGAGCAAACA